UACGUAGGUGGCAAGCGUUGUCCGGAUUUACUGGGCGUAAAGGGCGUGCAGGCGGUCUGUUAAGUGCAGGGUGAAAGCUCCCGGCUCAACUGGGAGAGGUCCUUGCAUACUGGCGGACUUGAGGGGGGUAGAGGAAAGUGGAAUUCCUGGUGUAGUGGUGAUAUGCGUAGAUAUCGGGAGGAACACCUGUGGCGAAGGCGGCUUUCUGGGCCCUACCUGACGCUGAGGAGCGAAAGCGUGGGGAGCGAACAGG
RNAcentral lists this ribosomal RNA (253 nucleotides) under uncultured bacterium. RNAcentral describes it as "partial 16S ribosomal RNA". It matches the Rfam family "Bacterial small subunit ribosomal RNA", at positions 524 to 776 of the family's 1533-position model. The record is from RNAcentral.